RNAcentral lists this ribosomal RNA (253 nucleotides) under uncultured bacterium. Its description in RNAcentral is "partial 16S ribosomal RNA". It matches the Rfam family "Bacterial small subunit ribosomal RNA", at positions 524 to 776 of the family's 1533-position model. The record is from RNAcentral.
UACGGGGGGGGCAAGCGUUGUUCGGAAUUACUGGGCGUAAAGGGCUCGUAGGCGGCCAACUAAGUCGGAUGUGAAAUCCCCAGGCUUAACCGGGGAACUGCGUCUGAUACUGGAUGGCUUGAGUUCGGGAGAGGGAUGCGGAAUUCCAGGUGUAGCGGUGAAAUGCGUAGAUAUCUGGAGGAACACCGGUGGCGAAGGCGGCAUCCUGGACCGAUACUGACGCUGAGGAGCGAAAGCCAGGGGAGCAAACGGG